This 93-nucleotide non-coding RNA is filed under the name Chloropicon laureae. The record is from RNAcentral. RNAcentral also lists the same sequence under 1 other name. Lineage: Eukaryota; Viridiplantae; Chlorophyta; Chloropicophyceae; Chloropicales; Chloropicaceae.
CACACAGACACAGAAGAGACACACUUGUCAGUUGUUUUUUUUUUGUUUGUUUUCUUUUUCUUUUUCUUUUCCUCGGUCUCCCCCUGUGUUGUG